This 456-nucleotide long non-coding RNA is filed under the name Phoenix dactylifera (date palm). Its description in RNAcentral is "long non-coding RNA (PDAC_LNC011842)". Lineage: Eukaryota; Viridiplantae; Streptophyta; Magnoliopsida; Arecales; Arecaceae. The record is from RNAcentral.
UUGAUCAGGGGACUUAGCACCCCAGCGCGUAGGUUGUGAUUCGGAUCCGUGUUUGAGUCAGUCUACAAUUUCUGUAAGAAUCCCUACAUCUGAGCACCUCUAUGCAUAUAUUUGAUUUACCGUUGGGUUUAUUUUUAUAAUUAUGUGGUUAUUUGGUUUUUGGGCUGAUAUGACACAUAUGAGAUGUGCAUGUUGAUUGCUAUGGAAAUAUUAAAAUAAUUCAAUUGGGAAGAAUACUCAUUUUUGAGAAUUUAUGAAAACAUGUGAUGUGAUGGAAAUGUGAUUAAACAUGUAAAACUAGACAUGUAAAAUGGGUUGGACUAACCUUGUCAUGAGAUAGCCUCUACGAGCUUAUGCGUAGGAUAGCUGCCACGAGCUUAUGCGUGGGAUAGCCUCUACGAGCUUAUGCGUAGGAUAGCCUCCACGGGCUUACGUGUGGGAUAGCUGCCACGAGCU